Octodon degus (degu) is the source of this 1667-nucleotide long non-coding RNA. RefSeq lists it as uncharacterized. Lineage: Eukaryota; Metazoa; Chordata; Mammalia; Rodentia; Octodontidae. The transcript has 3 exons. The record is from RefSeq and is a predicted model, not a curated record.
CGGCAGGGGCAGUGGAUGGCUGGGCAGCUGGCUGUGUCACCGGCUGGAGGGUCCUUCUGCCCCAGGACAGAUCGAAGGGAGAGGAGGUCUCGAUGCUGGGUCACCUGAUGGAAUCAUCCACCCACCCCCAGGCAUCAGCCUCUUGCAGUUGAGGCCCCUGCACACCCUGGCAAUGUCUGAAGCAUCCAGAUGUUUGAAGGCGACAGUGGGGUCCCUGUCCAGCAUGUGGUGUGCAGCUGGGCAGGAAGCGGCAGGCAGGGCAGCUGGGACAAGCACCCAAGCUGCUCCCAGGAGAGCCAGCAGGGUGGCAGGGACCUGGCAGCAGGACAGCUGGUCACCAGAGGCACCAGUGACCCAACUACCCACCACAGAGACACGGGGAAUUUCAAAGGCCGAGGCCCAGUGUCUGCUGUCGCCCUUGUGUCUGUCCAGUGGGCCUGUUGGACUGAAGGACAUUGUCUCUUCGGCCACUCUGCCCAUGGCAAGAAGAAAGCUGGUUUCCUUUAUUCAUUUCCACGGAUUUGGUUCUCUUUUGCUAAUUUAGUGAUUUUGCUGCUUAUGCGGUUUUCAUUGUGAGUCACCUGCAGAAUUCUCUUUGGAAGUAGGUGGGGCAUAAAUUAUAAAUAUAAAUUCUCUUUGACUCCCUCAGCAUUUAGCACAAUGCCUGGCUUUGUGCUCCGGGCGGGUCCUUGUUUGUUGACUGUGCCGGUAAAUGGCUCCCCCCUCUUCCGCCCUCCGCCCACCACCCUGGCCCUCCCGGCAGCCAGAUGCUGAGAGCAGGCACGCUUCCCUUCUUCUCUCUCCUCCGCUCUCCCCCUCAAGAUUCCUUUUUCCUUCUGCUCUGCCAGCGAGGGAGGAUGCCAGGCUCAGAGAGGGCGAAGAGUCACCCAGCAAACGGUGGGACCACGUCAGCCUGCCCACCCAACCACGGCACAUGGCACGUGACACGUGGCAUGUGGCAGUAAGUCUGCCUUUCAGUCCAGAGACCUGCGGGAGUUAGUGCUGAGAUCCGCUCCCUAGGCCGGAAAUAAAGGGGAUCACCGUGAGCCACAGUGAAGGAGUUGGGGAUGUGACACCAUGUGUCCAUCAGGAGGGCGGCAGCAGAGUGCACUGCCUGUGCCAGCCAGACCCAAGCGCUUAUUAUUUGCCAGGCACUAGGUCUCGAAGAUGGCAGCGUGGCAUCUGCACCUGGCAGGCCCGACCAAACGCACAGAUUCACUCACACACACAGAGCCAGAGCCGCAGCGGAGACGCCCAUGAAUAAAACAUCUUUCCAUUGAAUCAAGAGAAGACGAAUCAGAAAUUGCCCUGUGAUGGGACUGAAUCUGCGAUUUAAAGAGGGGAGCACAUGCACAUUUACUUCUGCUCCUCGCUGCAGGCCCUCCAGGCCCACCCCCCACCCCCUAGGGUGCUGUCACACUCAGAGAUCUGAAUUAAACAGAUUCAAUGGCGCCUUGGGUUUGGGAGGCGAGAAAAGGAGAAGGUGGAAGAGUAGGUUGUAGAAUAAAUUAAAAAGAGAGCAAAGGUUAGAGAGGAAAGUGGGUCAGGCAGAAAGAUCUGGAAUGUUCCAGCUGGAACAAUCAUUACUAGCCAUGCAAAGGGGGCGCGUUUUUUGAAUUCUUCCAGUGCCAGGCGGUGUUCUAAGCCUUUUUUUUUUUUUUUUUUUU